UACGUAGGGUGCAAGCGUUGUCCGGAAUUAUUGGGCGUAAAGAGCUCGUAGGCGGUCUGUCGCGUCUGCUGUGAAAACCUAGGGCUUAACUCUGGGCGUGCAGUGGGUACGGGCAGGCUAGAGUGCGGUAGGGGAGACUGGAAUUCCUGGUGUAGCGGUGAAAUGCGCAGAUAUCGGGAGGAACACCGGUGGCGAAGGCGGUUCUCUGGGCCUUACCUGACGCUGAGGAGCGAAAGCGUGGGGAGCGAACAGG
RNAcentral lists this ribosomal RNA (253 nucleotides) under uncultured bacterium. RNAcentral's name for it is "partial 16S ribosomal RNA". It matches the Rfam family "Bacterial small subunit ribosomal RNA", at positions 524 to 776 of the family's 1533-position model. The record is from RNAcentral.